GCGAAUGGCUCAUUAAAUCAGUUAUCGUUUAUUUGAUAGUACCUUACUACUUGGAUAACCGUGGUAAUUCUAGAGCUAAUACAUGCUGAAAACCCCAACUUCGGGAGGGGUGUAUUUAUUAGAUAAAAAACCAACGCCCUUCGGGGCUUCUUGGUGAUUCAUGAUAACUUUACGGAUCGCAUGGCCUUGCGCCGGCGACGGUUCAUUCAAAUUUCUGCCCUAUCAACUUUCGAUGGUAAGGUAUUGGCUUACCAUGGUUUCAACGGGUAACGGGGAAUUAGGGUUCGAUUCCGGAGAGGGAGCCUGAGAAACGGCUACCACAUCCAAGGAAGGCAGCAGGCGCGCAAAUUACCCAAUCCCGAUACGGGGAGGUAGUGACAAUAAAUACUGAUACAGGGCUCUUUUGGGUCUUGUAAUUGGAAUGAGUACAAUUUAAACCUCUUAACGAGGAACAAUUGGAGGGCAAGUCUGGUGCCAGCAGCCGCGGUAAUUCCAGCUCCAAUAGCGUAUAUUAAAGUUGUUGCAGUUAAAAAGCUCGUAGUUGAACCUUGGGUCUGGCUGGCAGGUCCGCCUCACCGCGUGUACUUGUCCGGCCGGGCCUUCCUUCUGGAGAACCUCAUGCCCUUUACUGGGCGUGUUGGGGACCAGGACUUUUACUUUGAAAAAAUUAGAGUGUUCAAAGCAGGCCUUUGCUCGAAUACGUUAGCAUGGAAUAAUAGAAUAGGACGUGCGGUCCUAUUUUGUUGGUUUCUAGGACCGCCGUAAUGAUUAAUAGGGACAGUCGGGGGCAUCAGUAUUCAAUUGUCAGAGGUGAAAUUCUUGGAUUUAUUGAAGACUAACUACUGCGAAAGCAUUUGCCAAGGAUGUUUUCAUUAAUCAGUGAACGAAAGUUAGGGGAUCGAAGACGAUCAGAUACCGUCGUAGUCUUAACCGUAAACUAUGCCGACUAGGGAUCGGGCGAUGUUCUUUUUCUGACUCGCUC
RNAcentral lists this ribosomal RNA (982 nucleotides) under Pseudostaurosphaeria chromolaenicola. RNAcentral's name for it is "SSU rRNA". It matches the Rfam family "Eukaryotic small subunit ribosomal RNA", at positions 89 to 1081 of the family's 1831-position model. The record is from RNAcentral. Lineage: Eukaryota; Fungi; Ascomycota; Dothideomycetes; Pleosporales; Phaeosphaeriaceae.